Long non-coding RNA from Cyprinus carpio (common carp), 1065 nucleotides. NCBI's taxonomy places the organism in Eukaryota, Metazoa, Chordata, Actinopteri, Cypriniformes, Cyprinidae. The record is from Ensembl.
AUGCAGAGAGUUGCAGAUGUGACUAAACAGCUGGAUAUUGCUCAGAAGACCAUCAACUCUCUGGAAAACGUCAAUGUUCCCUCGUUCAUUAAAGAGUUGUUGAGAAAUCACUUUGAUUCUCGGGAAGCACUGGAGCACUUCUUAUGUCCUCGAACAUCUCCACGCCAACCUGAUAUUGACCAAUCAGAGAGGGCGCAGGAGGUCAGAAACAACCAACCAUCUGGUGGAAAAGAGGAAGUAUUUGAAUGGCCACAGACUGGACACACAUGUUCAGGUGCCAGACAACUGUCUGCCACAGCCUUUCUGCCAUGGAAACAUGAUCAUGAUCCAUGGGCAGGGCCAGGACAACUCAUGGCUAAAGGAAGUGAUUCACAACUUCCUUUUUCUUUUGAUGAUGAUGUGCCAAUCCACAAAACAAUGGCAGAUACAAAGGCCCCAAGUCAUCAAGUGCAUCAAUUAGCCAUGAACACAGAGAUCCACUUAAUUCCCCCAAACCCAUAUAAUUUAGAUGAGAUGAGGUUCAGCAGAAAGACAGGUGGAGAGGGAAGCAUCACUGUGGGGAAAGAGCCCACUGAUGUCAGCUAUCUUACUGCUCAUAGGAUGCUGAAUGAGUUUUUGAACCAGAUUCCUCCUCCAGUGCAUGAUGGUGAAGGGAAAGAUAGCUUAUAAGCAGAACUAUAACAAAAGGAAAGCAGUAACAUUUAAUUUGACAUCUUUUUGGUAAACUGUAUAGGAACUGGAUAAAAAUCUCAAUAACGUCUCCCAUUACCAAUAUUGCAGCAAGGAUGCAAAUAACUGUGGCUCUGAUGGCUCUUUAUUGGUAGUUGUGAAAUACACUUGAUUUCUAGCUUUACAAGUAUAAUUGCUGUAUGCAUAUAAGUAUGUAGAUACGGUAUACCAUCUGGUUUUGUGCUAUAUCCAUUAAAACUUUUAGUUUUCAUUUGUAGUUCAGUACAUUUGCAAAAGGCAUCCUUUGUAUUUGUGUUUUAUGCCUGUUUGCACUUUUUGCCGUGCAUAUUGUGAAAUAUUUAAGGUUAGCAAUAAAAUUGUAUAAUUCGAUAUUCA